GGCUUUUGCAAACAUCACAAGCAGACAGCUCUGAGGACAGCCACAGUGGAUCUCCUGAAUUAGCUCACCAGGGAAAUCAGAGACCAACUAUGGCUUGGCUUUUCCCCAGAACCACAGGGGCUCUGGCUGUUUUAAUGGUGGUGGUGUUGGUUCAUGGAGAAUUGCAAA
This 168-nucleotide long non-coding RNA is filed under the name Ictidomys tridecemlineatus (thirteen-lined ground squirrel). RNAcentral's name for it is "lncRNA (ENSSTOG00000034861.1)". The record is from RNAcentral. Lineage: Eukaryota; Metazoa; Chordata; Mammalia; Rodentia; Sciuridae.